RNAcentral lists this transfer RNA (73 nucleotides) under Trichonephila inaurata madagascariensis. It matches the Rfam family "tRNA". From Rfam's summary of the family: Transfer RNA (tRNA) molecules are approximately 80 nucleotides in length. Lineage: Eukaryota; Metazoa; Arthropoda; Arachnida; Araneae; Nephilidae. The record is from Rfam by way of RNAcentral.
GUCUCUGUAGCGCAAUGGAUAGCGCGUUGGACUUCUAAUCCAAAGGUCGUGGGUUCGAAUACCACCUGUGAUG